RNAcentral lists this ribosomal RNA (231 nucleotides) under uncultured bacterium. Its description in RNAcentral is "partial 16S ribosomal RNA". It matches the Rfam family "Bacterial small subunit ribosomal RNA", at positions 546 to 776 of the family's 1533-position model. The record is from RNAcentral.
CGGAAUCACUGGGCGUAAAGGGUGCGUAGGCGGGUCUUUAAGUCAGGGGUGAAAUCCUGGAGCUCAACUCCAGAACUGCCUUUGAUACUGAAGAUCUUGAGUUCGGGAGAGGUGAGUGGAACUGCGAGUGUAGAGGUGAAAUUCGUAGAUAUUCGCAAGAACACCAGUGGCGAAGGCGGCUCACUGGCCCGAUACUGACGCUGAGGCACGAAAGCGUGGGGAGCAAACAGG